UUGAGCCGUAUGCGGGGAAACUUGCACGUGCGGUUCUUUGAGGGGGGGGAGCUUGCUCGAAAGAGCCUACCUAUCCCGAU
Angiopteris palmiformis is the source of this 80-nucleotide non-coding RNA. The record is from Rfam. NCBI's taxonomy places the organism in Eukaryota, Viridiplantae, Streptophyta, Polypodiopsida, Marattiales, Marattiaceae.